CAGUACUGACGCUGAGAUGCGAAGCGUGGGGAGCAAACAGGAUUAGAUACCUGGUAGUCACGCUGUAAACGAUGUCGAUUUGGAGUUUGUUGCCUAGAGUGAUGGGCUCCGAAGCUAACGCGAUAAAUCGACCGCUGGGGAGUACGGCCGCAAGGUUAAAACUCAAAUGAAUUGACGGGGGCCCGCACAAGCGGUGGAGCAUGUGGUUUAAUUCGAUGCAACGCGAAGAACCUUACCUGGUCUUGACAUCCAUAGAAUUCUGCAGAGAUGUGGGAGUGCCUUCGGGAACUAUGAGACAGGUGCUGCAUGGCUGUCGUCAGCUCGUGUUGUGAAAUGUUGGGUUAAGUCCCGCAACGAGCGCAACCCUUAUUCUUUGUUGCCAGCGAUUUGGUCGGGAACUCAAAGGAGACUGCCGUUGAUAAAGCGGAGGAAGGUGGGGACGACGUCAAGUCAUCAUGGCCCUUACGACCAGGGCUACACACGUGCUACAAUGGCGUAUACAAAGGGAAGCGAAGGUGCGAGCUGGAGCGGAUCUCAUAAAGUACGUCUAAGUUCGGAUUGGAGUCUGCAACUCGACUCCAUGAAGUCGGAAUCGCUAGUAAUCGUAGAUCAGAAUGCUACGGUGAAUACGUUCCCGGGCCUUGUACACACCGCCCGUCACACCAUGGGAGUGGGUUGCACCAGAAGCAGAUAGCUUAACCGCGAGGGGGGCGUUUACCACGGUGUGAUUCAUGACUGGGGUGAAGUCGUAACAAGGUAACCA
Molecule: ribosomal RNA, 763 nt
Filed under: uncultured Enterobacteriaceae bacterium
Lineage: Bacteria; Pseudomonadati; Pseudomonadota; Gammaproteobacteria; Enterobacterales; Enterobacteriaceae
Description: bacterial SSU rRNA
Rfam family: Bacterial small subunit ribosomal RNA
Source: RNAcentral